Long non-coding RNA from Tympanuchus pallidicinctus (lesser prairie-chicken), 579 nucleotides. RefSeq lists it as uncharacterized. The transcript is spliced from 4 exons. The record is from RefSeq and is a predicted model, not a curated record. Lineage: Eukaryota; Metazoa; Chordata; Aves; Galliformes; Phasianidae.
UGUGAUUAUUUCCUGUGGUUCUUGUCUUCAGCUACAUGUCUAUAAUGGCAGCAAAGAUCAUUCAGAAAUGUGAUUGUUGGAAGUCAGUACAGGAGCAUCAACACAGCUCAACAGUGAUACCUUGGUCCAUAAAUCAGUGACAACUGAAAACGUCAUCUCAGCCAGUCAUUCAUGGAUUAUUGUCAUAGGAUACGUCUGUGUGGUCUUCCUGGAACAAACAUGUGCAGAUAUUUAUCUAAAGAAGCAAAGGCUUAACAGCGGGCUUAUUUUCAAAUAUAGUAAAUGGUAUUCAACUCCAUUGAAGUCAAUGGAACCACGCACAGAUAAAACCAAUAGAAGAAAAUUAAACCUUUCAAAGAAAACCUACUGCAUUUCUUUUGAGAAGCUGAAAUGGGGCUGCGAUGGGACAUUAUAUGGUUGUGCUGUCUACAAGCCUAUCUUCUCAGUGAACACACUGGAGAAGCAGUUUGUUACUCAGAAGGUUUAGGCACUCCACCUACAGCAAAAGUUCUGGACACUUCACAGAAAAGAAAUGGUACACACUACGACCCAAGGACCUGGCUGUGAAAUUAGAUUUCU